AGAGUUUGAUCCUGGCUCAGAGUGAACGCUGGCGGCGUGCCUAAUACAUGCAAGUCGAACGAACGAAUAAGAGCUUGCUCUUAUAAGUUAGUGGCGCACGGGUGAGUAAUAUAUAGCUAAUCUGCCUCUUAGUAGAGGAUAACAGUCGGAAACGAUUGCUAAUACUCUAUACUUCUGCUUUACAUAAGUAAAGUAGAGAAAGUUUUUCGCUAAGAGAUGAGGCUAUACUGUAUCAGCUAGUUGGUAAGGUAACGGCUUACCAAGGCUAUGACGCAUAACUGGUCUGAGAGGAUGAUCAGUCACAUUGGAACUGAGACACGGUCCAAACUCCUACGGGAGGCAGCAGUAGGGAAUAUUGCGCAAUGGGGGAAACCCUGACGCAGCAACGCCGCGUGGAGGAUGACACUUUUCGGAGCGUAAACUCCUUUUAUCGGGAAAGAAUAAUGACGGUACCCGAUGAAUAAGCACCGGCUAACUCCGUGCCAGCAGCCGCGGUAAUACGGAGGGUGCAAGCGUUACUCGGAAUCACUGGGCGUAAAGGGUGCGUAGGUGGAUUAUCAAGUCUCUUGUGAAAUCUAAUAGCUUAACUAUUAAAUUGCUUGGGAAACUGAUAGUCUAGAGUAGGGGAGAGGCAGAUGGAACUCUUGGUGUAGGAGUAAAAUCCGUAGAUAUCAAGAAGAAUACCUAUUGCGAAAGCGAUCUGCUAGAACCUAACUGACACUGAUGCACGAAAGCGUGGGGAGCAAGGAGUACGGUCGCAAGAUUAAAACUCAAAGGAAUAGACGGGGACCCGCACAAGCGGUGGAGCAUGUGGUUUAAUUCGAAGAUACGCGAAGAACCUUACCCGGACUUGAUAUCUAACAAAUCAUCCAGAGAUGGAAGAGUGUCUGCUUGCAGAAAUGUUAAGACAGGUGCUGCACGGCUGUCGUCAGCUCGUGUCGUGAGAUGUUGGGUUAAGUCCCGCAACGAGCGCAACCCACGUAUUUAGUUGCUAACAGUUAGGCUGAGUUCUCUAAAUAGACUGCCUUCGUAAGGAGGAGGAAGGUGUGGACGACGUCAAGUCAUCAUGGCCCUUAUGUCCGGGGCGACACACGUGCUACAAUGACAUAUACAAUGAGAUGCAAUAUCGCAAGAUGGAGCAAAUCUAUAAAAUAUGUCCCAGUUCGGAUUGGAGUCUGCAACUCGACUCCAUGAAGCCGGAAUCGCUAGUAAUCGUAGAUCAGCCAUGCUACGGUGAAUACGUUCCCGGGUCUUGUACUCACCGCCCGUCACACCAUGGGAGUUGAUUUCACUCGAAGCGGGGAUGCAAAAUUUGCUACCCUCCACAGUGGAAUCAGCGACUGGGGUGAAGUCGUAACAAGGUAACCGUAGGAGAACCUGCGGUUG
Molecule: ribosomal RNA, 1386 nt
Filed under: human gut metagenome
Description: bacterial SSU rRNA
Rfam family: Bacterial small subunit ribosomal RNA
Source: RNAcentral